RNAcentral lists this ribosomal RNA (444 nucleotides) under uncultured bacterium. RNAcentral's name for it is "bacterial SSU rRNA". It matches the Rfam family "Bacterial small subunit ribosomal RNA", at positions 355 to 796 of the family's 1533-position model. The record is from RNAcentral.
UGAGGAAUAUUGGUCAAUGGGCGAGAGCCUGAACCAGCCAUGCCGCGUGAAGGAUGACGGCCUUCUGGGUUGUAAACUUCUUUUAUAUGGGAAGAAAACUAUUGUUUCUACGAUAGCCGACGGUACCAUAGGAAUAAGCACCGGCUAACUCCGUGCCAGCAGCCGCGGUAAUACGGAGGGUGCAAGCGUUAUCCGGAUUUACUGGGUUUAAAGGGUGUGUAGGCGGGCUAUUAAGUCAGUGGUGAAAUCUCCGAGCUUAACUUGGAAACUGCCAUUGAUACUAUUAGUCUUGAAUUCUGUUGAGGUAGGCGGAAUAAGUCAUGUAGCGGUGAAAUGCAUAGAUAUGACUUAGAACACCGAUUGCGAAGGCAGCUUGCUAAACAGAUAUUGACGCUGAGGCACGAAAGCGUGGGGAUCAAACAGGAUUAGAUACCCCCGUAGUCC